CAGGGUGUCCAUGUUGAACAGAGACUUUCUCGUAGCCGAUGGUUGCCCUUCAAGCACCAACAAAUUGGAAAUUCCAAGCCCUGCUGAGAUUACGAGCAGGGUGGAAAGGGAAUCAACACCAUCACACCAAAGCAUUUAAGACCCUAGCAGAGCCUGAACCUUCUUCAGCAAAUAAGGGUCACCGAGUUCCUAUAGUCAGUCACUGGACCACAAUGCUUGAUAUCCUUCAAUGGACACCGGAAGUAAUAUGAGCUACAGAUGUGCGUCUCAAUGGGGUUAUUUCUUUCCUUAACAAGUUACAGUACAUUAGCAAAGGUAAAGUGAACACACAACUUGAUUUUAUGGUUCUUAGAAUGUCACUUAACUAUGUUUUAGGCUAAGUAGAAGCAGCGUUGGCACUGAAGAGUAUCAGUUUAUCUUUAAGAUAUCUCUGAAAUUUUGGAGAGUCUGAUGUGUUACGAAUUAUUGUUGUAUAUAAGGAGAAUAGUAGGAGAAGAUCUGCACUUGUGUA
This is a non-coding RNA of Aegilops tauschii subsp. strangulata, 511 nucleotides long. The record is from RefSeq and is a predicted model, not a curated record. NCBI's taxonomy places the organism in Eukaryota, Viridiplantae, Streptophyta, Magnoliopsida, Poales, Poaceae.